This 110-nucleotide ribosomal RNA is filed under the name Castor canadensis (American beaver). The record is from RNAcentral. Lineage: Eukaryota; Metazoa; Chordata; Mammalia; Rodentia; Castoridae.
AUCUAUGACCAUACCAUCCUGAAGGUGCUAAAUCUUGGAAGCUAAGCAGGGUCAGGUCUGGUUGGUACUUGGACAGGAGACCAUCUGGGAAUACCAGGGUGCUGUAGGCU